AAGAGGGACUGAAUGAAUGACCGCUGAUUGAACUCUCAGAGUGAACAGACAGCAGUACUCGGGGUCAUGGGCAAGGCCCCCAGACUCCGAGUUCCCCGGAAGGAACCACCGACCACUCGUCAAGGGAUGGCAGAGUGAGGGAGUCAUAAUCUUUUUGCUGGUGGAGGAUUUGAAAUAUCGCGAGAAUUACCAAAAUGUGACGCAGAGACGUGAAGUGAGCAAAUGCUGCUGGAAAAAUGGCGCCGAUGGAUUUGCUGCACGCAGGGUUGCCACAAACCUUCAAUUUGUAAAAAAACGCAAUAUUUGUGAAGCGCAAUAAAACAAGCUUGGUGCAUGAGGACCAGAGAAGAGUGACACAGGAUUCUGGUGUCCAGCACAGCGCCACACACAACUCAGACCCUCACUGAAGGGGAUGGAGCACUGGCCACCUCCAGCCUGGCAGGCACCGUCUGGGGUGAGCUGAGCCCAUUGAGAACUCCUCUGAGGGUCACACUGAGGGUGGGGCCCUGGCAGCCAUGUUUACUCACCUGGGAUCCUGGCUCCU
Physeter macrocephalus (sperm whale) is the source of this 544-nucleotide long non-coding RNA. RefSeq lists it as uncharacterized. The record is from RefSeq and is a predicted model, not a curated record. The transcript is spliced from 4 exons. Lineage: Eukaryota; Metazoa; Chordata; Mammalia; Artiodactyla; Physeteridae.